This 275-nucleotide signal recognition particle RNA is filed under the name Saimiri boliviensis boliviensis (Bolivian squirrel monkey). Its description in RNAcentral is "Metazoan signal recognition particle RNA (ENSSBOG00000003538.1)". It matches the Rfam family "Metazoan signal recognition particle RNA". From Rfam's summary of the family: The signal recognition particle (SRP) is a universally conserved ribonucleoprotein. It is involved in the co-translational targeting of proteins to membranes. The eukaryotic SRP consists of a 300-nucleotide 7S RNA and six proteins: SRPs 72, 68, 54, 19, 14, and 9. Lineage: Eukaryota; Metazoa; Chordata; Mammalia; Primates; Cebidae. The record is from RNAcentral.
GCCGAGCGAGGUGGCGCGUGCCUGUAGUCCCAGCUACUCAGGAGGCUGAGGUGGGAGGAUCGCUUGAGCCCAGGAGUUCUGGGCUGUAGUGUGCUAUGCCAACAGGUGUCCGCACUGAGUUCGGCAUCAAUAUGGUGGCCUCCUGGGAGUGGGGAGGAGUGAUGAACCAAGCCAGGUGGGAAAUGGAGCAGGUCAGUAGCAGGAUCAGUAGUGGGAUCACACCUGUGAAUAGCCACUGUACUCCAGCCUGAGCAACACAGCAAUAUCCCAUCUCU